This 500-nucleotide ribosomal RNA is filed under the name uncultured eukaryote. RNAcentral's name for it is "bacterial SSU rRNA". It matches the Rfam family "Eukaryotic small subunit ribosomal RNA", at positions 13 to 490 of the family's 1831-position model. The record is from RNAcentral.
CCUGACGGUAGUCGUAUGCUCGUCUCCGAGACUAAGCCAUGCAAGUCCAAGUACACGUCCUUGAACGACGGAAACUGCGAAACGGCUCAUUAAAUCAGUUGCGAUCUACUCGGCGUUCCGCGCCGCCGGAUAACCGUAGUAAUUCUAGGGCUAAUACGUGCGAAGCGCCCGAAGCCGCGAAGGCGACGGGCGUUCUCGCCGGAUGUAGGAACCGACCCGGGGACCGCCGGGGCAACCCGGCGCCCCCGAGACGGGGCGAACCACGGUGAAAUGACGGAUCGUCGGCCCCGCGCCGGCGACUCGCCGAAUGAGUUUCUGACCUAUCAACUCGAGACGGCGGGGUAGAGGCCCGCCGCGGUAACGACGGGUAACGGGGAAUCAGGGUUCGAUUCCGGAGAGGGAGCCCGAGAAACGGCUACCACUUCCAAGGAAGGCAGCAGGCGCGCAACUUACCCUAAUCUCGAUUCGAGGAGGUAGUGACAAGAAAUACCGAUGCGGGA